This 473-nucleotide ribosomal RNA is filed under the name uncultured Glomus. RNAcentral describes it as "SSU rRNA". It matches the Rfam family "Eukaryotic small subunit ribosomal RNA", at positions 569 to 1048 of the family's 1831-position model. Lineage: Eukaryota; Fungi; Glomeromycota; Glomeromycetes; Glomerales; Glomeraceae. The record is from RNAcentral.
AGCAGCCGCGGUAAUUCCAGCUCCAAUAGCGUAUAUUAAAGUUGUUGCAGUUAAAAAGCUCGUAGUUGAAUUUCGGGGUUAGUAGGUUGGUCAUGCCUCUGGUAUGUACUGGUCUCACUGAUUCCUCCUUCCUGAUGAGCCGUAAUGCCAUUAAUUUGGUGUUGCGGGGAAUUUGGACUGUUACUUUGAAAAAUUAGAGUGUUUAAAGCAAGCUAACGCUUGAAUACAUUAGCAUGGAAUAAUGAAAUAGGACGUUUGAUUCUAUUUUGUUGGUUUCUAGGAUCGACGUAAUGAUUAAUAGGGAUAGUUGGGGGCAUUAGUAUUCAAUUGUCAGAGGUGAAAUUCUUGGAUUUAUUGAAGACUAACUACUGCGAAAGCAUUUGCCAAGGAUGUUUUCAUUAAUCAAGAACGAAAGUUAGGGGAUCGAGACGAUCAGAUACCGUCGUAGUCUUAACCAUAAACUAUGCCGACUA